GGGGAUGUAGCUCAGUGGUAAAGUGCUUGCUUAGUAAGCAUGAGACUCUGGGCUUGAUCCCCAUCACCA
Molecule: transfer RNA, 69 nt
Filed under: Fukomys damarensis (Damara mole-rat)
Lineage: Eukaryota; Metazoa; Chordata; Mammalia; Rodentia; Bathyergidae
Rfam family: tRNA
About the family: Transfer RNA (tRNA) molecules are approximately 80 nucleotides in length.
Source: Rfam by way of RNAcentral